Molecule: transfer RNA, 73 nt
Organism: Ovis aries (sheep)
Lineage: Eukaryota; Metazoa; Chordata; Mammalia; Artiodactyla; Bovidae
Rfam family: tRNA
About the family: Transfer RNA (tRNA) molecules are approximately 80 nucleotides in length. Their secondary structure includes four short double-helical elements and three loops (D, anti-codon, and T loops).
Source: Rfam
UCCCUGGCAGUCCAGUAGUUAAGACUCUGCACUUCCAAUGCAAAGGCCUCAGGUUCAAUCCCCGGUCAGGGAA